GACGAACGCUGGCGGCGUGCUUAACACAUGCAAGUCGAGCGGUAAGGCCCUUUUGGGGGUACACGAGCGGCGAACGGGUGAGUAACACGUGGGUGACCUGCCCUCAGCUCUGGGAUAAGCCUGGGAAACUGGGUCUAAUACUGGAUAUGACCUUUCCUCGCAUGGGGUUGGGUGGAAAGUUUUUCGGCUGGGGAUGGGCCCGCGGCCUAUCAGCUUGUUGGUGGGGUGAUGGCCUACCAAGGCGACGACGGGUAGCCGGCCUGAGAGGGCGACCGGCCACACUGGGACUGAGACACGGCCCAGACUCCUACGGGAGGCAGCAGUGGGGAAUAUUGCGCAAUGGGCGGAAGCCUGACGCAGCGACGCCGCGUGGGGGAUGACGGCCUCGGUUGUAA
Molecule: ribosomal RNA, 395 nt
Filed under: uncultured bacterium
Lineage: Bacteria
Description: bacterial SSU rRNA
Rfam family: Bacterial small subunit ribosomal RNA
Source: RNAcentral